Molecule: ribosomal RNA, 506 nt
Filed under: uncultured bacterium
Lineage: Bacteria
Description: partial 16S ribosomal RNA
Rfam family: Bacterial small subunit ribosomal RNA
Source: RNAcentral
AUUGUACGCUGGCGGCAGGCCUAACACAUGCAAGUCGGACGGUAGCACAGAGGAGCUUGCUCCUCGGGUGACGAGUGGCGGACGGGUGAGUAAUGUCUGGGGAUCUGCCCGAUAGAGGGGGAUAACCACUGGAAACGGUGGCUAAUACCGCAUAACGUCGCAAGACCAAAGAGGGGGACCUUCGGGCCUCUCACUAUCGGAUGAACCCAGAUGGGAUUAGCUAGUAGGCGGGGUAAUGGCCCACCUAGGCGACGAUCCCUAGCUGGUCUGAGAGGAUGACCAGCCACACUGGAACUGAGACACGGUCCAGACUCCGAUGGGAGGCAGCAGUGGGGAAUAUUGCACAAUGGGCGCAAGCCUGAUGCAGCCAUGCCGCGUGUAUGAAGAAGGCCUUCGGGUUGUAAAGUACUUUCAGCGGGGAGGAAGGCGGUGAGGUUAAUAACCUUGCCGAUUGACGUUACCCGCAGAAGAAGCACCGGCUAACUCCGUGCCAGCCGCCGCAGUAA